This is a long non-coding RNA of Oncorhynchus kisutch (coho salmon), 2757 nucleotides long. RefSeq lists it as uncharacterized. Lineage: Eukaryota; Metazoa; Chordata; Actinopteri; Salmoniformes; Salmonidae. The transcript has 4 exons. The record is from RefSeq and is a predicted model, not a curated record.
CAUAUGGCGCUUCAUAUGUAAUAUGGCGAGGCGGAAUCCCAGCUACUGUAUUCAAAUUAGAUGCCCCAUAUUAAUUUAUUACACCGACCUGAAGGGGAGUGUUCUGUACACAGAUACACUGUAGUGAUGGAGGCCCACAAUUUGUCCUGCAUCAUUUGUUUGGAUCCCUUCACCGUCCCAGUCACCGUCCCAUGCGGUCACACCUUCUGUCGAGACUGCAUCACGGCUCACUGGGACACGAAGUCCAUGUCUGAUAUGCCCUGUCUGCAAUGAGAAAUUCACCACCAGGCUUGUCCUGAAUCGCAACGUGUCCCUGUCCUCUCUGGCUGAGGCCUCAGCAAACAGUGCCGGUGCAUCCGGUAGAGACACUGUACCAGUUAUGAGGACCAGAGCCAUGACCCUGAUUCUGUGACCGACACAAGAAGCCCCUGGUGUACUACUGCCGGACAGACAACGUGUGUAUGCUGUGAGUGUGCCAUCUCUGAGUGUAAGAACCACGAGGAGGUGCUGGUGGAGUGUGAGAGGGAGAACCGAGAGUCACUACUGUGGAGGAAGAGUGUGGAGGUGUAUAUACAUAUGUGAAUAUGUAUAGAGGAGACUGAAAGGAGCUGGGCUGACAGAGAAUAUCGCCAAAGCCAAGACCGCUGCACUCUGACCCUCAUACGGCCAACAGUCACCUGCUACUCUCCCAGGAGGAGCGCUGCGCCGUGUCCCCGCCCACGAGACUCGCCAAGACCACACCUGGCAGGUGCUCUGCUUCAAACACAGAAAGCAGUACUGGGAGCUGGAGGUGUCCAAGCCAUGGGCCUACCUGGGGGUCAGAGUGUGAAGGCUAUAGUUUGGGGACUAUAGAAUUGCACCUGUGUCUUUUGAGACUUCCCAACAUAACCUUUGACCCCUGCGUCUCUCCCCCAGUUCACCUAUGAGGGCAUGCCCAGGAAGGAAAAGGGAAAGAGUAGCAUGGUGGUAAUGAACGAUCUGCCCUGGAGCCUCCAGCUAGACGAGGAUCAGCUGAACGCCUGGCACAGCGGGCGCUGGGAGAUGGUGGCUGGUCACUACCACCACAUUGUAAUGCUGCUGGAUUACGAGGCGGGAGCGCUGACGUACUACGAAGACAGGCAGAUGAGGCUGCAUUCCUUCUACUGUGCCUUCACUCAGGAGCUGUUCCCCCACCUGUCGGAUAGGGGAGGGCGUCAGCGUCACCCUCUGCUCACCGUGAUGACAACACGAAAGGGAACAACUGAGCUAACACUGUCAUAAGGGACUAGUCUUGCAAAGCUGAUGAGUGUUGUGAUCUCUCCUUACUGUACAGAUGUUUUUACAGUCCUGUUGUGGGACACGGACUUGAACGGGAGCGACUAGUAAGUACAUAUGUGACACGGGACUCUUCUGAAAUAUGGGAUCGCUCAGGACAGUGGACUAGUCUUUGGGAUACUGUUGUGGAUUUGCAGGUUCUCAGAACCGUGAGCACAUUUAGGAACUGGAAAUGACUACUGUGCGGGAAACCGGUUUUCCAUAAGAGAAGGGAAAAGCACAUGUCUAGGGUCCCUAAAGGCUGAAGAAAUUUCACAGAAGUUCCUGUUGGAUUCCUAAUGAAGCUGACGUUAAAUGUUUUGCACUACUUUGUGUUGGAAGUUGGAACUGGACAAAUAUGGUACUUCAGAUUUAGACAGCUUGUCGUUUUGUUAAACAAGGCAAUGACGUAGCGUAUAAAAAAAAAAAAAACAGAAAGUCAGGUACCCAGGCUUGCAUCACAAUGUGUACAGAAAAAUGAACUACUGUCAAAUAAAUAAAAUGGACACACUUCACAUCACAAGAUCAGUUUAAUAAAAAUUCUAUCCAUAUUAGUUACAAUUGAGCCCAUGCUUUGGUCUUUUUAAUAAUAUAUUUGACCAUUUCAAAUGAAUUUAUCAAUAAAUUAGUGGGAACUUGAAAUAAAUAUAGCCAUAUCUGACUUUUUUUUUUUACUAUACACAUAGCCAUGGCAGGCGCAAAGAGGCCCGAUGCAUAGCAUUCUGAAAGUGCAAAGAAUCUUCCAGCUGCAUUGUGCCAGAGAGAAAGAGAGAUGCCCAAAUAUUAAGGUGCUCAGAUCAGAUUCAGGAGACUGACCUCAAACAUGUCAGUGAAGGACACACCACAAGAGAAGUUGAUAGCCAUCAGUGUAGUUAAAUGUGAGAGAUGUGACUAUUGAUCUAAUCUGUUAGUCCAGAACACUGCAGAGUGAUGUGAUGCAAGGAACUAUUUCAUUUGUUUAAUUUCCUUGAUGUGGUGGGUGAGUGAGUUCUAGAAUGUUCAGAAGAGUGACACAGGACAUGACAUCAUAGGGCAACUGCUCUAUAUACACACACAGGAAGUAGCAGUAGUCGCAGAUAGCUAAGAUCAUCUUUCCAUGUAGUUUGAUAGUUCAACUAGGAUCAGGGAUUCUUAGUGUUCUAGAUAGCUUUCCACUAUACCGGACAUUUUGGUUCCUAUCAACACAACGGGAAAGUCUCAAAUUACACUAUAUUCCCUUUAUAGAAGGGUGUUAUUUCAGAUAUGUAAAUUUUCAACAAAGACCUGGUCCAAUGAUCUACUGCUAUCCUCUCAUUAAAAGUUGUCACAUUAAAAGCCUGUACAGAGAAAUAAUAAAUUAAAUCAACAAUAUACAGCCUUUCGCUAGCCCCUGGAAAGCUGAGAAAUCACAGUCCUGUUCAAUUAGUCAUCAACGGUCUUCUGAAAUAAACCAGGUUCUCACCAAAACGACCUGCUAAACCUUGA